AUCGUAAGGCCAAUUCAAGAGUUGAGAAUAUUUUAUUUUUAUUUUUUUUAUUUUUUUUCAAAAUUUGCGAAGGGUUAUCAAACGAAACGUUUCGAUGAAACGAAACGUUUCAAUGAAACGAAACGGUAUACCGUGACCGUAAGCUUUCCUUUAUUCCUUAACAUCCCAGUUUUUCAUCAAGACGAGACAUCAUCUUCAGGAGUGCAUCCCAGUUUUUCAUCAAGAUCAGACACCAUCCUCAAGAGUGCUGCCUUUUCUUUAAUAUUCAUCGAUUUUUUGGAUAUUUUUCAUUGGCGUUUGCAAGUUGUCCUUGAUGAUCAUUGCAUCGUAAAAAGCAUCAAAAACGGUCUGAGAUGCUGUCUUGAUUAGAUCCAUCUCGCUGAUAAAGAUUUUCUCCGCCUCUCUGCCCCUACGCGCGCAGUAAGCCUUCCAAUUGGUCAGGGUGGUUGGCAUCUUGCCUGCUACGGGAUUCAAUUGGCUGUCGACGCGAUCUUCCAUACUCUCGAGCUGCAAAACAUGACGUCAUAAAAUGAGAGGUAUUGGGUACAGUUUAACGGUGUAGUUUCUUACGUGGUGAAUCACGUUUAACAGCACAAGCAUGAAGCAAACACUAUCAGAAGGGUACAAGUCCACAUUCGGCAAAACGGAGAUGAUACACUUUUCAAGCGGUAUUUUCCAAGCCGUACCCAAAUGAUUAAAGAUGCGAAAAAAUGGCGAUGAUUAAUUUUUAAAAGUCCACAAGAACCAGUACCCUCUAAAGUUUUGAAAAUUUAAAACAAAAAAAAUCAUUAAAACUGGACAGAUGAAUUCAGUCAAAGCUCUAUAUUGAGAAUAUAGUGAUAGCCCUCCGUUCAUAUUAACUGUCCUCACCUGAAAAUAAAUUUUAAAUUGACAUCAUUAAAGUGUAAGCGCAUAGACAAAUCAUGCAAUCGGCGGAUUUAACCCAAAUCAGCCUAACUGUAGUUGGGGCCCCAUGGCGGCCCUAAGCCCACACCAUGAAAUGAGGAUUCCUUGAGGUCAAUUCCCAAGUCACCCCCCCCCCCCCGUUGUAACGUCUCGUGCUAGAAAAAAGGCUAAUAGGGGAGGUAUCGAUCACCUUGUGUGUAGUAAAACAAAUUUAAAUAUUUUAUAAAUAGUAGCUCUGCUACUAGAGUUGUAAUGAGUCAGACUUUUGGUGUAGUAGUCGCGAUUCUUGAAGGUUGGCAACACUGUAUUUUAUCCAUUUUUUGUGUAAAAUAAUCGAUUCUUGGUGAGACAGCUUUGCCUCACCGAAAAUAUAUAUUUUUAAUGGAUUCUAAUGGAGGAAAGACAGUGUUGCCAGCUUUCAAGCAGCGUCACUGGUUCACAGAAUUCCUUGGAUGGAAUUGAUACGAUCGACUUAUUUCGCUUUACCUGAAUUAUGAGUUCAUCGAGCUUUUUGAAACCGGGAGCCUGUGAAUAGCUGUCGGUAGAGUCGGUCAGUUUGGCCAAUUCAGGAUCUGAAGGUGGAAAGAAAUCUACAAAUUUCUUAACCGUUGCCUGGCGUUCGCAUAUUUUCUCCUGGGCUUCUUUGUGGGUUUCCAGAAUAUUCUUCUUUGCGUAGUCCAAGGCCCGAGCUAGAGCUUUUUUCACUGGGAAGGGCAAAACAAAAAACAAAAUCAAUCGACUUUGAUCGCGACGGAGAUCCAGAUCACGCUCCCAGUUGUGUUCUAAAAUUUUGAAUUCACU
Molecule: long non-coding RNA, 1707 nt
Filed under: Bemisia tabaci
Lineage: Eukaryota; Metazoa; Arthropoda; Insecta; Hemiptera; Aleyrodidae
Description: lncRNA ENSSSA1NGG000450
Source: RNAcentral